GAUGAACGCUGACAGAAUGCUUAACACAUGCAAGUCAUUGGCGAAGCUGCGCUUGCGCAGUCUAGCCAAGGCGGACGGGUGAGUAACGCGUAAGGAACUUGCCCUGCAGACAGGGAUAACAGACGGAAACGACUGAUAACACCUGGUAUUGUCAGGCUGGCGCAUGCCGGCCUGAUGAAAGGAGACGCUGCAGGAGAGCCUUGCGUCCUAUUAGCUAGUUGGUGGGGUAACGGCCCACCAAGGCGAUGAUAGGUAGCCGGCCUGAGAGGGUGAACGGCCACAAGGGGACUGAGAUACGGCCCUUACUCCUACGGGAGGCAGCAGUGGGGAAUAUUGGACAAUGGGGGCAACCCUGAUCCAGCAAUUCUGUGUGCACGAAGAAGGUUUUCGGAUUGUAAAGUGCUUUCAGCAGGGAAGAAGAAAGUGACGGUACCUGAAGAAGAAGCGACGGCUAAAUACGUG
RNAcentral lists this ribosomal RNA (462 nucleotides) under uncultured bacterium. RNAcentral's name for it is "partial 16S ribosomal RNA". It matches the Rfam family "Bacterial small subunit ribosomal RNA", at positions 28 to 507 of the family's 1533-position model. The record is from RNAcentral.